Molecule: ribosomal RNA, 1873 nt
Filed under: Paospora carinifang
Lineage: Eukaryota; Fungi; Microsporidia; Spragueidae
Description: bacterial SSU rRNA
Source: RNAcentral
CACCAGGUUGAUUCUGCCUGACGUGGACGCUAGUCUCAUAGAUUUAGCCAUGCAUGUGUAAGCGAAGCCUUUGGGUGGAGCGGCGGACGGCUCAGUAACGGGCAAAUAUUCAAUCUCACGUUCUGGACAACCUCAGGAAACAGAGGGGAAAACGGAGUAAGAGGAUGUGACGAGCAUGCGAUGAUAACACAKAGUGUGCGUGAGAAUAAGAAGCCAUCCCAUCAGUUAAUACGUGCGGUAAGGGCGCACGUAGACUAAGACGGGUACGGGGGAUUAGGGUUUGAUUCCGGAGAGGGAGCCUGAGAGACGGCUACCAGGUCUAAGGAGAGCAGCAGGCGCGAAAAUUACCAAAGCCCACAUUGGGGCGGUAGUGAAGAGACGUGAAAACAAGGACGUGUAAACAACGUCUUGGGUAACUGGAGGUCAAGUCUGGUGCCAGCAUCCGCGGUAAUACCAGCUCCAGGAGUGUCUAUGAUGAUUGCUGCGAUUAAAAAGUCCGUAGUCGAAGGGGAAGGCCCGUCUGUAAUGUUGUGUAUCAAGGACAAAAUAGGACGGGAACACACCGGAGUUAGGAGCGAGUGGGGGCUAGGGUAUUGUGCAGCGAGAGGUGAAAUUUAAUGACCUGCACAGGAGCAACAGAGGCGAAAGCGCUAGCCAGGGGCGUAUCCGAUGAUCAAGGACGUAGGCCGGGGUAUCGAAGACGAUUAGAGACCGUAGUAGUCCCGGCAGUCAACGAUGCCUACACUAUUGUAGAGAAUGUACGAUAGAAGAGAAAUCUAGUAGGGCUAUGGGGAGAGUACGCGCGCAAGCAUAAAAUUUAAAGGAAAUUGACGGAAGAGCACCACAAGGAGUGGAGUGUGCGGCUUAAUUUGACUCAACGCGGGACACCUUACCAUACCCGAUGACCGUGAGAGUGUAGUACACGAUAGGUCAGAGAGUGGUGCAUGGCCGUUAUCGACUAGUGGGGUGACCUUUUGGUUAAUUCCGCUAAGUGGUGAGAUCCCUAGAUAAGCACGGCUUACGACAUGUGCCAAAAGCACAGGAAGAAAGGGGCAAGAACAGGUCAGUGAUGCCCUUAGAUGGUAUGGGCUGCACGCGCACUACAGUGGUCACCACAGACAAACAUUAGAGAUAAUGGUGAUCGAGAGGGAUUGAACACUGCAAUGUGUCCAUGAACGAGGAAUUGCUAGUAUUCGUCAUCUCACUAAGAGACGAAGAAUAUGUCCCUGCUCUUUGUACACACCGCCCGUCGUUAUCGAGGAUGGAACCUGGUGCGAACAAGUGAAAGCAAGUGAGUGCCGGGUUCUAAACUCGAUACAAGUCGUAACAAGGCAGCCGCAGGUGAACCUGUAGCUGGAUCAAAUAGAAACAAAACAAUGAAAUGAAUGAAUAAGACACCACACACAAAGGAUCACUAGGCUCUCUCGUCGAUGAAGGACGUGACAGCACACGAAAGGCAUGGGAAUAGUGAUAAUGACCAUGCGUGUCUGAAUACCAUCCUCGGAUGGGAGUACUCCUUGGAAUUAAGCAUAUGACUAAAGGAAGGAAAAGAAACCAACAGGGAUUCCCAUAGUAGCGGCGAGUGAACAGGGAAGAGUCCACAAGUGUAAUCCUGGCUUGCCGGGAGAUGUCGCCUAGAGAACGGCAGCCGAAGUGUUUGAAACAUCAUGCCAGAGAGGGUUAAAGCCCCGUAGGCAGCCGGUAGGUGGAUAUGAGUAAUUGUGCUUGGUAGUGCACAAUGAAGAGGUGGCAGUGUCCAUCUAAGACUAAAUACAGAGAGAGACCGAUAGCGAAUAAGUAGGACGACCGAACGUGUGAAAUUGUGUGUGGAUCCGAAUGAAUCGGACCCGUCUUGAAACACGGACCAAGGAGA